This is a long non-coding RNA of Eupeodes corollae, 1067 nucleotides long. RefSeq lists it as uncharacterized. NCBI's taxonomy places the organism in Eukaryota, Metazoa, Arthropoda, Insecta, Diptera, Syrphidae. The record is from RefSeq and is a predicted model, not a curated record. The transcript is spliced from 3 exons.
CGUUGUCAGGAAGGAUCAUCCAUUCAGUAUCGACGACGAAAGCCAACAAUCCCAUAUCUUCUCGACUUAGAUAAAGUAAAGAUUGACAUAUCUAAGCUGAAGUCUAUCAAAGUCCCUGCUGGAGCAGAUGAAUGCCAACUAAGCACCAACUAAUCUGUAAGAAGUGGUCGGAAGAAAGCAUUCCCCGAUAAAUGGAAGCUCAGUACAGUUUGCGAGAUUCUGAAAAAAAGAAACCCUCUAAACUGCACCAACUAUAGAGGUAUCGGUCUACUCAACAUUCCUUGCAAAAUCUUCUCUGCCGUAAUACGUGAACGUCUAAGGCCUAUCGUCAAAAACCUGAUAGGUCUUAAUCAGUGUGGUUUUAAAGCAGGAAUGUCCACAGUCGAUCAAAUAUUCACAUUACGGCAGAUCUUGGAAAAAAACCCGAAGAACAUCAAAUCCACCAUCUUUUCAUCGCUUUAAAGGCUGCAUAUGACAGCAUCUACAGAUACCAACUGUAUAGAGCCAUGUCUAGUUCUGGCAUCCCUGCCAAACACGUCUAUUUCUGCAGGGACGAACAAAAGAUAUACAAAAAUUAAGAAAAAUGAGUAUAAAAAAAAAGUUCGAAACCCGGCUGAUACUGAAAGUGAAAAGCCAUGGGUGUCUUUAUGCCAAAGACGGCCAAAAAUAUGCGGAUAAAAUGGCAAGAAUAAGUGCUUGGGAAGGCCUGUCGAAGAGUGGCAAAGUAAAUGGACCACACUACGAAAUUCUUUUUGGUAUUAUUUUCGUGCCGAAAAUAGUGUGCCGAGUGGCUCUGCAUCAACAACGCCGGUACGAUGGAUUCACCUUGAAUCCCUUAAAUUUUUAACACUCUACGUGAUGAUUCCAGAUGAUAAUUGUGGUAAGAUGCUUAUUGAAGACCCUCUGUUGAGAGUACUGAAAGCAAUAGAAAAUAAGGAGGUGAGGAGCACGAAGGAGCUGUUCAAGGAGAACGUCGUAAUCCAUGUAUCGGAAUUUAGUCCGCAAAGCGUUAUAUGGUUCCAAUCUAAGAUACUGGCCAUUUUGGGCGAGAAAACGGGAGAGCACUU